This 324-nucleotide long non-coding RNA is filed under the name Elaeis guineensis (African oil palm). RNAcentral describes it as "long non-coding RNA (EGUI_LNC063112)". The record is from RNAcentral. Lineage: Eukaryota; Viridiplantae; Streptophyta; Magnoliopsida; Arecales; Arecaceae.
CCCCGGAGGCUGAGGUGCCUUCACCGAUCUCCAUUGCCGCACCGGUUCCAUUAUCAGAGAGUCCUGCACUGGCAUGUCCCAAUGAGGUGGGUUCGAGUGAGAUGGAUCCGAGUGGUAUUAUUAUACUUUUUAUAUAAUAAAUUUUAAUUUUUUAUUUGGAUAACUAUCAUACUAAUGAUUUAUUUAUUGUUGUUUCAGGUCAGUCUUCAUCAAUAGUGAGACGAGGGCGAGGUCCAUCGAAGAACCUCACUCUAGAGUAUUGGAGAUGCGACACCUGGGACAGCAUCUCCAUAUCGAGAUACCAUCCGACUACACUAGGCCCAU